Arvicanthis niloticus (Nile rat) is the source of this 103-nucleotide small nuclear RNA. The record is from RefSeq and is a predicted model, not a curated record. Lineage: Eukaryota; Metazoa; Chordata; Mammalia; Rodentia; Muridae.
CUGCUUUGGCAGCACAUAUGCUAAAACUGGAAUAACACAGAGAAGAAUAACAUGAGCCCUGUGUGAGGAUGACAUACACAUUUGUGAAGUGGCCUUCUGGAAU